GACGAACGCUGGCGGCGUGCUUAGCACAUGCAAGUCGAACGGAAAGGCCCUGCUUUUGUGGGGUGCUCGAGUGGCGAACGGGUGAGUAACACGUGAGUAACCUGCCCUUGACUUUGGGAUAACUUCAGGAAACUGGGGCUAAUACCGGAUAGGAGCUCCUGCUGCAUGGUGGGGGUUGGAAAGUUUCGGCGGUUGGGGAUGGACUCGCGGCUUAUCAGCUUGUUGGUGGGGUAGUGGCUUACCAAGGCUUUGACGGGUAGCCGGCCUGAGAGGGUGACCGGCCACAUUGGGACUGAGAUACGGCCCAGACUCCAACGGGAGGCAGCAGUGGGGAAUAUUGCACAAUGGGCGGAAGCCUGAUGCAGCAACGCCGCGUGCGGGAUGACGGCCUUCGGGUUGUAAACCGCUUUCGCCUGUGACGAAGCGUGAGUGACGGUAAUGGGUAAAGAAGCACCGGCUAACUACGUG
RNAcentral lists this ribosomal RNA (468 nucleotides) under uncultured bacterium. Its description in RNAcentral is "partial 16S ribosomal RNA". It matches the Rfam family "Bacterial small subunit ribosomal RNA", at positions 28 to 507 of the family's 1533-position model. The record is from RNAcentral.